This is a transfer RNA of Ovis aries (sheep), 72 nucleotides long. It matches the Rfam family "tRNA". From Rfam's summary of the family: Transfer RNA (tRNA) molecules are approximately 80 nucleotides in length. NCBI's taxonomy places the organism in Eukaryota, Metazoa, Chordata, Mammalia, Artiodactyla, Bovidae. The record is from Rfam.
CCCCUGGUGGCUCAGACAGUAAAGCGUCUGCCUGCAGUGCGGGAGACCCAGGUUAGAUUCCUGGGUUGGGAA